This is a long non-coding RNA of Polyodon spathula (Mississippi paddlefish), 2184 nucleotides long. RefSeq lists it as uncharacterized. The record is from RefSeq and is a predicted model, not a curated record. The transcript has 4 exons. Lineage: Eukaryota; Metazoa; Chordata; Actinopteri; Acipenseriformes; Polyodontidae.
UUAAAAUCCAUUUACUUUUUAUAGACAGCUAUAGUGUAAUAUAUUUCUAUCGCACAUUCUUAAACAAAUCUAUAGAAAUCAAACAAAUACUUGAGUUAACUUGUCUACAGGGUCUACUACAGGAAGUUAGCUUUGUAUCUUAAGACCCAGACUGAGGAUUCCCAGGAUGGCUGCCUCCGAGCCCGGACUUCCCCCUGUGAUCCUUGGCAUCUCCAGGAACUACUUAUCCUGCUUGGGAGAGGGAGCCCAAGCCUCGUGCUGUGCUGUGUGGUUAUUGAGAUACCACGUAGCAGUGUUUUCUGUUCUGUGUGGAUUAUUUGUUUUCAUUGCAAGCCUCUGCUUACCAUAGCUGGUAACAGAGGCAGUUUUCUUGGUUCGCUGCAAUUGUGUGGAAACCCACUGCUUGGGACUUUGUACUUUUGGGUGUGCUGUAAAUAAAAUCCAACCCUCAACUACGUGCUUCCUGUCUCCAUCACUUCUGGGUCACAUCACUUCCUCCCAUAACCCACCACAGUACUCUUUAAUGCUCACUGUAAGAGGAACACUAACACUGAACUGUAUAGCCAAGCUUACUCUGUAGAUGCUCACUAUUUCACUUUUCUCAUUGUUGUGACUAGUGUCACCCAAACAAGUGGUUCCUUAAUAAACCAUGGGGUGAAUGCUUUGUGAAUAUGGCUUCUAAAGACCUGUACAUUUCUAAAGUACCUGCAUAUAUAUAUAACUUAUUUUUCCUAGGAUGUGAAGAAGCUUUUCAAACAGAUCCAGAGGUGCUAUGCUGAAAACCUCUGGGCUCUACACCCUGUCCAGGACAUCCUUGUGAAGCCGGAGCGCUACACCGAGGUCCUGAAGAAAGACAAGCAUAUAUAUUUGACCGAAGGCAUAUGUUGUAGGAGGCCCCGUUGAUCACAAUCACCACAAGGUAUUGCACUGAUGCACCGUGGGUCAUAAACAGCAAUUUGAACACUUUACUGCAGUCUUCUUGCUUUCAGAUGGCUGACAGCUUUAUUAUAGUUAACAGCUUUACUGCAGUCACAGUUAUCAUUGAGUUCCAGGGGAAUCAAAACUGCAGACCUAGAAUCGAGACCAGGCAACCCCAUAGAGUUGGCCAUUUUCUAUAUGAAUAAGUGAAGAAAUUGUGAAUUGAGUAUUUACUUGCUUUAUAUAAGGCACCCCUUUACAAUGCUGUAGUUGGGAGUUGCAGGUAAGAGGCUGUGCAAUUUGUGUUCUGCCUUAUAGCAAGAAAGCAAGUGCAACUGUAAUGACAUGCAGUAAAUGGAAGCCAUGAUCUAACUGCCUUAUAAAGAGGGAGCACUAUGAUAGGGUAGGAAAUAACAUUUUAGUUCAGAUGUAAUUACACUGGAUCCCAAUCAUGACAAAACCUAUAUAUUUGGAAUCCAGAUUCAAUGGCAUGCAGGUCAUCAAGCCUGCAGUAGGUGUUACACAUGAGGUAUGAAUGUCAGAACUGCAUUGCGUGGUACACACUGAGCUCAUGAGUACAUUUUGGUAGAGGUAUGAAACGAUCCAGCGUUGUGAAUGGAAAUUCCGGGAUUAUUGUGCUUAUGAAUUAAUAAUGUUCUACAGUGCAGCUGGGCUCAUGUGCUAAUAAAAAUAUCUUUUUACAACCCUCUCUCUAGGGACUGUGGCUUGAGGAGAUCAGAUGAGUAAUUGUAUGACUGUGUGUGAAUGUGAGACCUCGGAUAAAUUAGAGUCUUUUUUUCCUAAAUUACCAGUGAAUUUAAUUUUAACCAUUAGAAACUAGAUUAAAUUUGACACCAAGGGUUAUAUAAAAGGACACUUGUGAGAUAGGAUUUCAUCAUAACACAUAUAGUGAAAUGUGUAACCUGUAUAUAUAAAAGGUUUGUUUGAUCUUGAAAUACGCAGCUGUACACUAGAUGGCGCUUGGUCAUAGUUCUAUAAUGACACUAAUCUAUACUUGGUUACAAAUGUCUAAGGCAGGCCACUAGAACCAAAGAGCAGCUCCUGACUUCACUGAGCGCACCUUAACACAAUAAGGAAUAUUUUAGUAAUUGUUUGAAAUAAAAGUAUGCAGACUGAUUGCAAACGUCAGAAAAAAUUGUAAUUUGAAGCUGCUUGCUUUUUGUGUGUUAUGUGUUAUUUUCCAUAAGUUACACCAAAACAAGUUACAUUUGAUAUAGGGGUAGAGUCCUGAUUUAUUGAGCAAAA